UAUUUUGUAUUGGUUAGAAUUUUGUUCAGUUACAUAAAACAGAAAACAAUAGUGGCUUAAGCAAGAUGGGAUUUUCUUUCUUUCUCUCACUGAAAAAAAAGGUCUAGAAAUGAUCAGUUCAGGGCUGGUUUGGUGACUUCAGGUGUCACCAGGGACCUACGCUUCUUCUGGCUCAUCCUGCCCCUAUUCCUAAAGUGCAGCUCUCAUUCUCAUGUCUUGUGGUAGUUGCUAGAGUGAUAGUCACCACAUCCUCAUUUAAGAAAGUAGGAUGGAGAAAGGAGGGUGAAUAAAGGGCACACCCCCUCCUGUUAAGGAGCUGGCUUCGAAGUCCCAUAUGACACCCACUUGCAUCCAUUGUCCGGAACCCAGCCACAUGAUCACACUUUGCUGCAAAAUUGCCAGGGGAACGUAGUUUUCAGCUGGGUGGAAAAGGGAUCAGCAAAAAAUUGGUUUUGUUACUAAGAAAGAGGGAAUGGAUACUGUAGAGCAAUGAGCAGUUUCUAACAUACAUGUGAACAAAAUUAUCAAAAGAAAUACAAAUGUAAAAGAUUUCAGGGUCAACCUUACCAACAGUCAAAUAUAAGUAAAGCAGGUGGCCUUUUAUGGUCUUGUCUGGCUAAGGUAUUGAAGAGCUGGCCAGACAAGUCAUGAAGACAGUCAAGAACUGACUGUCUUCAUAAGGACCGACUGUCUUCAUAAGAACCUUGGGACAAUGCACAUGAACAGAACAGAGUUUCAGGGUAAAAAUGGCCCUUUCUCCCCAACUAGAUGGCUCAAGGACCCAAGGGCCACUUCCUGGCUGUUCCCCCAAAGUCUCCCUCCAACUCCCAAGUGACAUCAGAUUCUGUAAAUGCUGGGAAGUAGAGAAAAAUUCUGUACCCAGGGAUUCUCUAACUAAACUAUGGCUAAAAUUAAAUUUUAGGUGUUUUUGAAAGUUCCUUUAAAAAAGUAAUAUCCUCAUGCAAACUGAAUCAGCAGUUUCAGAACUUAAAAAAAAAAAAAGAACCUCUGUCGUAUUCUUGGGGUAUCACAAAUUAAACAUGAAAACCAGCCACUAAAAUAAGGACCAGUGUUUGGAUACUACAUGGGGGUGAUGUUAGGCAACCUCAAGUUAUGUCUUUUGGCAGAUUCAGGACUUUAUGUGAGCUCCCACAGAUGGUGAUGUCAAUGCCACCACCCUUCAGAAGGCACAGAGAAGGAAAGUGCAGAGGACACGGCAAGUGUGGAUUCCACAGGCUUCUGAAGUUCAUAGGCCUAUUUUGAAUAGUUAUUGUGCCUUUCUCAAUCCAGACCAGCAUCAGUUACCUCUCACGAUUUAUUUGAAAGCAUUUACUUCUAGUGUUUGCUCUUUUUAAAUGGUUGCUGAUUGGGAAAAAUACCAGAGUAAACUGAUGUUUCAUGAAGUCUGGGGGAGACGAUCUUUAGGGCAUGGGAAGCAAUAUGAUAUAAUGACGAAACGUGCCCAUGCUUUGGAAUCAGAAACACCUGGAUUUGAGACCUAGCUCUGUGGUUUACCAGCUGUGUGUUCUGGGACAAGUUAUUAAACUUCUCUGGGGCUCAGGUUACUUGUCUUAAGAUGGGCUAAUACAGUGCUUACCUCGUUGUAUCAUCAAGUUGGGUAGGAAACAGAUGGUGAACUUGGACUGGGACUGUUUACAAAGGUGUGGGGAGGGCUCAGGGAAAUCAAGAUGAGACAGUGAAGCAUAUGGGGGCUAGCAACAAUGGGGAGCUGUUACCACUUGUAACCUGAAGGUAUGAAGGAAGGGAAUAAAUGGGUAAGGGGACCCAAAGGAGGCAGCUAUUGGAAGGGUGUCUGGCAGGAGCUGUGGGCUCCAGUGGAGGAUGCAGUUGGCCUAAAGCGACCUGAUAGGGACCCGGGGGAAUAACUUAACCACUUGCCCUCCUCGGGGAACUCCUGACCUCAUCUUCCUGAGUCCUUCCAUCUCUUGCUAAUGCUCCCCAUGGACCAAAUCUAACUAGAAUCCAGAGGCAAGAUAGAUGAGUGAUGUGGCCCAUUCAGGUCAGCCUCCCAACCCAGAGCAGGUAGAGAGGACGGAGAGUGGAUCUGCAGGGGCAAACAGAAGAUUAAUCAAAAUAGAGACUGUGAUGAGGUUAGCAUAAUGCCUGGAACAUAGUAAGUCCACAAGUCCUCAACAAAUGUUAAUUUAUUUUGGACUUUGGACUCUCUGUCUGCCUGUUUUGCUUAUUGCUUACUUCCUGGUUUUCAUCAGCUCAUGUAUAGUUGAGAUAACUUCCAAAUAAUCAAGUAUUGUUAUCUAUAUUGGAGUGUUUUGAAGGAGUAAUGAGUGUAUAAAAAAGAUAACCAGAUACUCUGGGGAUUAGAGAUGACAGAGGGAAACAGAGGAAGGGGAGUAAGUAAGAGAAAAGGAUGGAGAAAACUGUAUGUUCCCUAUGAGGCUGGAAUGAACGCAAGAUUAUCUUACUUUAAAAUCAAAUCAUGCACUUAUUGGGAUGUGAUAACAGUGCGUUUGCAAUUUUACAGCCCAGUGAGACUUGCCAGAAAGGGAUUUUGCAAGGAAGGUCUUCCUGCCCUAAAGGAAAACCUAGUGCUUACUUCCAGAUUAAUAAGUCUUAACCCAUCAUGCCUGCUCCCCCAAAACCAAGUAGUCAAAUGUGUUAACCUGGAUGUUUAAAUACCUGCAUGUUCCUGCCUGGGUGCCUGGGUCAGGUGAAUGUUCUAUUCUGAUUUGGGAAAUGGCUAGAGUGUGUUGGUCGUCGCCUGGGAUAGCUCCCAGGUAGGAAGGGAGCCCCAGAGAGUGGUCUGAACAGUGACUCAUAAACUCAGUGUCCUUUCCUCCAGCCUUUACCAGCUGCUGACUUGGCCCCUUAGGAAUCUGUCUUCAUUCCGCAAGCUAUUCUCCAGUGUCUGGUUCAGGCUCUAGAGCAGAGCAUUCCAGGCUUUCUGUGAUUCCUGGCCACCUGUUCCAUCUCCAAGACCCUCCAGCAUCCUUCUCUCAUUUGCUUACCCUACCCUCCAGGCCUUUGCACAGGCCACUCUCUGUGCCUGGGACAUACAUUCUCCUUCUGGCUAACCUUCCGCAGCCUCCAGGACCUCUCAGGUGUCCUCUCCUCUGGGAGCCCUGCUGGACUGCCCACGGGGAGUUGGGAAGCCCUUCUGUAUGCUCCUGUUAGCCCUCUUUGAUUCUCUCACUCACAGCACUUCCACACUGUCUUGGUUUCCUGGCUCAUCUCUCCCAACACACUGGACACCCCUUGAGAAGAGACUUGACAUAUUCAUCUUGAUUUUAAUGCCAUCCGGCAAAAUUCCUGGCACUCAGAGGGCAUGCAAUAAAACUUUACUGAAUGAAGGUUUAGCGCGUAAUUCAGAAAAUAAGCAAGAAAGUGUCACAAACACCAAAGCAAGUUAACCAAGCUAUAUGUUCUAGAACAUUCUUCCUCUCCUCCUGUCACUCUGGCUCUCCUGCGCCUACAGCAGACAGGACAGAGUCUGCUCUUUCACCUGCUCUUUUCUAGUCUUUUCUUUCAGGUAUCCCCUGAAAUGCCACUUCCUCAGAGGCUAUCCUUGACUACCCAAUCCAAAGCAGUCACUCAGUCACUUGAUUACACUUCAGUCUAUUUUAAUUUGUUAGAGAGCACUUACUGCUAGCACCAAUGUUUUAUUUCUGUGUUUUCUUUCUAUCUCCACCAUUAUGCUGUAGCUCCAUUUGAGUAGGGACCUUGUCUGUUCACUACUGUAUGCCCAGCAUCUAGUACAGUGUGUGGCAGAGAGUCAAGUGUUCAUUAAAUACUUGUUAAAUGAAUGCAUGCCACUGUUACUGCAUGCUGAGUUAAUUUGAUGUAUGGCUUCUAUCACUGCUAUCAGAUUAGGUGCUCUAGAGAAACUCAGAAAGGGCUGAGUCUCCUUAUGACAUUGCAGGGUGGGAGGGGGACCUCAGUUCCCUUCCUAGGCCUAAGUGGGAUAUGCUGCCUGCUUGCAGCUUCCUUGUGGCCUGGACUUCCCCAUGGAGGCCAGAUGCUGAGCAACCCCAGCCCAUGUGUCUGAAGGCUCUGAAUACCGAAAUGUUCCUCUAGCUUUCUGUGAGAGCAGUUGGAGCUGCCCAUUGCCUACACUGAUAGAGGAAUGUGCCCAGGGCUCCUGGCUGGCCUGGCACCCAGCAGGAGGCAGGCACAGUGGCCAGCACGGUGAGGACACAUCACACUUCUUCUUUUUCCCAUAUCCCUAUGCUGAGAGUGCAUGCAGCUGCCUGGCUGGGAGCAGAAACUGGCCUCACUUUCUGGGGCCUGCUGGGCAGACAAUGCAGCUCUCUAGCUGUGCCACAGAACAGGGCAAAUCUUUACUAGCUGUGGACUCACUCCCUGCCCCUCCCAUUCCUGCAGAAAUUGCUCUACCAGCUCAGCAGAGGGCCAGGUCUGGAAUCUCUCACCUGUCCCUGGCCCUUCCUUUAAGCCCUCUGGUUUACUGGAAAUCAUAAACUGUGAGACACAGCCUUUAUCACACCCUGAACAGUUCACUCUUAAUAUUUAAUGCUGGAGGCUAAAACAACCAGGGACACUGGAGGCCUCCUGCUUACUCUCAGUGACUGAUGUUUGCACCUGGUAAUUGAGGUCAGGUUGCUUCUCUUAAGUCACAUGAUUUGCAUCAAAGCAGGAAGGUGUCGGGGCCACUUGUUGCAAAGAGACCAGGAGGCGAUCCCAGCAACGCUGCAAACCAGCUUUGGCAGCAAAGGCUGUGCUUUCAUGGGAGCCAGCCCUAGGAGUGUGGAGCUGGGCUGGCAGCUGGUAAAUGACCCUCUCGGGGCCUGAAUAAACCCUAGCUUUUCACUCACAGCAAACUCAGGAUGCCUUCCUCCCUCUAAAAGACCUGCUGAAUUGAGUCACUUUCAAUCCUUUCUGGAGUAGGAUGGGGCAUUAGUUAAUUAACAAAUUAAUUAAGCAUGCUAAAUAGUCACCCAGAAGAUACUGGUCACUUAAGGGUCUCCAAAUCACAGUAUAGGUCCCACCCUACCCAGACACCUAAUCUUGUUUCAGGGUUUGCUUGACCUCAGGCAUUUAUCUCCUGGUUGUCAUGGAAUCUGCUCAGAUAAACAGCAGCACACCAACCUGGCCCCUCUGCCAGCCUCAGAUCCUUCUAAGGCAGUGGAGCUCCCUGGUGGCCACCAGCCACCCGGGCUCCAGGCAGCCCAACACACACUCCCAUGCUGAGGUCUCUCGCAUGACCUCUCUAGGCACACAGUAGGUGCUCAGUAAAUGCUGUGGCAUGAAGGACCCUCCUGGAGUGUCUGAGUUCUCAGGCUUCAAGGCCCCUAGAUAAGCAGAUUUCUCUCCCCUAUCACCAUAGUCACCCCAGGGACUGCAGGGCAGGCCGAAAUCAGCCAGUGACUCAGCUCCUUGGGCAAUUCAGCUGGCCCACAGACCACUUCCUCUGCUCCCCAGCGCCGGAUGGAUGCAGAUCUGUGAGUAAGGAGCCAGCUGCAGGCAAGCAGCUCGAGGGCAGGUGGGCAUGAUGUCUGGCUACCACUCGCACUGGACGCCACACACACAGCCAGGGUGGCAGAAGGCCCCACCUGCCAUGUGCCAGUGGGACACCACCCUCAUGGUCUGCGUUUCCAGGUUUCCAACUAAGGACUGAGCACACUCUCAACAUGGACCUCCUAACUGCUCUCGAGGAUGGACAGCUGGCCUCAAGGGAACACUGCAAAGUGGCUCUAGGAAGAAGCCACUGUCCCUCCAGACCAUAAAAAUGGCUACCAAGGGCAGAGCCAGCAGCUUUCGCUGUAAAGUUUCUCAAGAAAAUCACAGAUAUUCCCCUCUGUGAUGUUCAGCUCAGCCUGGAAAGGAGAGGUAGAAACUGAGAGUUGAAGAGGCUGAAUAAUUUCUCAAGCACACUCCCAACUCGACCACCCACAAGCAAAAAGGCAGAGCUGGGAUUCAAACACAGGAAUGACAAAGGAAUGCAUAAAGAACUUCAAAGUUCAACUCCUCGAACUUCAAACUUCAAAUCCCCAACUCCUCCUGCCUAUGCUGGACGAUUAGGGCAGUAACAGGAGUCAACUUGUGCUGUGCUGUCACCUUGCCUGGAUCCGCAUCAGCCCUGCAGCUCCCACUUUGGAGGAGACUUGCCCAGGGACCUACAGCUCUGAAGCUUCUCUGACAGCCUCUGCAGCUCUUGGAACUUAUCUGGGCUGCUGCUGUGCAGACCAUGGAUGCAUAGCUGAGUUCCUGCCCCUGAUUUCCUAGAGUCUCAGAAAGACAGGGAAGUGACUUACCCAAAGUCCCCUUUCACCCUAUAAACAGUUCAGCCCAGGGAGUGAGGCUGACACGCAAAUGCAGCUAUGUAUAGACUCAGAGUCAUCCAAGGUCAGGGCUGGGUGGAGCCUUGGUCACAUGCAGGCCAACCUGUGUCUGGAGAUAAUGCAAGCCAGUGCAGGGGUUAGCGUGUACAUGGACUCUGGAGUCUGGCAGAUCUAAGCCCCACCCACCAACCUGUGACCUUGGAGAAUUAUUUGAAAAGACAUUAUUUGAAAAGCAGAUGUAAAAUGGAAAUAAAAGUUCCUAUUUAAAACA
Molecule: long non-coding RNA, 6546 nt
Filed under: Homo sapiens (human)
Lineage: Eukaryota; Metazoa; Chordata; Mammalia; Primates; Hominidae
Description: HSALNT0329556
Source: RNAcentral